CUGUAUUGGCCCUGUUAUAGAUUCGAGGUUAGCUGUAUUGGCCCUGUUAUAGAUUCGAGGUUAGCUGUAUUGGCCCUGUUAUAGAUUCGAGGUUAGCUGUAUUGGCCCUGUUAUAGAUUCGAGGUAUACUGUAUUGGCCCUGUUAUAGAUUCGAGGUUAGCUGUAUUGGCCCUGUUAUAGUUCGAGGUUAGCUGUAUUGCCUGUUAUAGAUUCGAGGUUAGCUGUAUUGGCCUGUUAUAGGUUAGCUGUAUUGGCCCUGUUAUAGAUUCGAGGUUAGCUGUAUUGGCCCUGUUAUAGAUUCGAGGUUAGCUGUAUUGGACCCGAGACUCGACAACUAAGAACUAAAUAUAUAGAAGGUAUGGUAAAUGGAACUUAAGCAUUGACGUGCUUUUUUUUUCUUUUUUAGCUUGCUUGCUAUGCAUCUUUGCUUAGAUAAUACAUAUUAAUUAUUCAAUUUAAUUC
This 462-nucleotide long non-coding RNA is filed under the name Mytilus galloprovincialis (Mediterranean mussel). The record is from RNAcentral. Lineage: Eukaryota; Metazoa; Mollusca; Bivalvia; Mytilida; Mytilidae.